Long non-coding RNA from Equus asinus (donkey), 1122 nucleotides. The record is from Ensembl. NCBI's taxonomy places the organism in Eukaryota, Metazoa, Chordata, Mammalia, Perissodactyla, Equidae.
CAAGCCACAUGGAAAGGCCACAUAUAGGGGCCCUCGUCAACAGCCCCGUGAGCCUGGCAUUGAGCAGCCCAGCUCAGAAGCCAGACAAGUGAGUGAAGAAGCCAUCUUGGAAGUGAAUCCCCAGCCCCUGCAGUUCCAGUCUUUCCAGCUGAGGCCACAGACACCAUGGAGCAGAGACAGCCAGCCCUACCAAAUUCUCGACCCACAGAAUCUGCAAAGAUAUUGUAGCAGAUGCUGUUGGCGUCCCACCCAUAUUGGUGGAUCCUUACCACUUCAGUGCUGGCCUGUCUCUUUCCUGCUGCUAGGAGCUGCAUCUCUUUGCUGAGGAUAGGCAAGACCACUCUUCCCCACUCACUGGAUGCAAAAGUGCCAAGAGAAAUCAACCAUUCCCACCCCCACAGCCUUUACCAUGACUGUUUGCAGUUGGUGUAUAAAUACCCCAGCUCCCUCCACCCUCAACAGUGUUACACUUUUGCCGCGUGUUACACUGCCGCGUGUUACACUUUUACAGUAUGUCCUGUACCAGUUCUCAGUUUCUCCACACAAUUAAGCUCCAACUUAAUUCCAAGAGCAGCUGGCCUAAUAAUGUGCCCUUAACUGGAUGCAGUCUCUUCCCUGUCUCGAUGCUCCGCUCCACUACUGUGUUUCCUGUACCAAUGGUGUGCUAGUAAACUGGUGCUCAAAACACAAAGAAAACAAAAACAAAACAAAACCAGCCCUGAGGUGUAGCACUUGCUGAUUUCCAUGAUGUAAAUACUCCUGCUAUGGCCUAUUUCAGGCUCUGUGAUUUCAGUUUGUCAUCACUGAACACAGAACUGAGAAGAGAUGUGCCCAGUCAGCUCUCCCCAGCCAGUACGAGCCACCUCCAGCACACCACGCCCUGUACCUCCUGAAUAAACCGUGCUCAAAUCCUUGUUUCAGGGUCUGCUUCUUGGGCAUCUCAAAGUAAGAGAAAAAAUAAAGUUCAGAGAAACUAGGUAAUUUCCUGAGGUAUGGACACUUUGUCAGUGGCUGAAGGAAUGCCUUAUUAUUACCUAACAAAUUAUAUGGUAAGAUGUGAGGUUAUUAUGUUAGUUACCUAGACUGUCACUUAUUUGUCAAACAGUAAUGCCUUAAAAGCAG